UGGCCGGAAGGCUGAAACCAGCCAAGCCGCGUGAAGGACGAAGGUGCCAAGCAUUGUAAACUUCUUUUGUCAAGGGACAAAAUCAGGCUCGAGAGCCUGACCGAGGGUACUUGAAGAAAAAGCAUCGGCUAACUCCGUGCC
This 141-nucleotide ribosomal RNA is filed under the name uncultured bacterium. RNAcentral describes it as "partial 16S ribosomal RNA". It matches the Rfam family "Bacterial small subunit ribosomal RNA", at positions 372 to 509 of the family's 1533-position model. The record is from RNAcentral.